This 510-nucleotide ribosomal RNA is filed under the name uncultured bacterium. Its description in RNAcentral is "bacterial SSU rRNA". It matches the Rfam family "Bacterial small subunit ribosomal RNA", at positions 28 to 529 of the family's 1533-position model. The record is from RNAcentral.
GACGAACGCUGGCGGCGUGGAUUAGGCAUGCAAGUCGAACGGUAUCAUCCUUUCGGGGGUGAGAGAGUGGCGAACUGGUGAGUAACACGUAGGUUAUCUACCCUCAAGACGGGGACAACCCAGGGAAACUUGGGCUAAUACCGGAUGUGAGCAACUUUUAGUUGUUUGAAAGGUGGCGUAAGCUGUCGCUUGGGGAUGAGCCUGCGUCCUAUUAGUUAGUUGGUGAGGUAACGGCUCACCUAGGCAAUGAUAGGUAGGCGGCCUUAACGGGUGGUCGCCCCACACUGGGAUUGAGAUACGGCCCAGACUCCUACGGGAGGCAGCAGUCGAGAAUAGUCUACAAUGGUCGGAAGACUGAUAGUGCGACGCCGCGUGAACGAUGAAUCCCUUCGGGGUGUAAAGUUCUUUUAUAUGUGAGCAGUGCUUCUUAUAUUAACAGUAUGGGGAGAGAGAUAUUAGCAUAUGAAUAAGCAACGGCUAACUCCGUGCCAGCAGCCGCGGUAAACUGUA